RNAcentral lists this small nuclear RNA (332 nucleotides) under Sorex araneus (European shrew). RNAcentral's name for it is "7SK RNA (ENSSARG00000015556.1)". It matches the Rfam family "7SK RNA". From Rfam's summary of the family: 7SK was discovered as an abundant small nuclear RNA in the mid-70s but a possible function has only recently been suggested. Two independent studies have found that 7SK RNA binds the CDK9/cyclin T complex (known as elongation factor P-TEFb). P-TEFb activates transcription by phosphorylating the C-terminal domain of RNA polymerase II. The record is from RNAcentral. Lineage: Eukaryota; Metazoa; Chordata; Mammalia; Eulipotyphla; Soricidae.
GGAUGUGAGGGCGAUCUGGCUGCGACAUCUGUCACCCCAUUGAUUGCCAGGGUUGAUUCUGCUGAUCUGGCUGGCUAGGCGGGUGUCCCCCUCCUCCCUCACCACUCCAUGUGUGUCCCUCCCGAAGCUGCGCGCUCGGUCGAAGAGGACGGCCUUCCCCGAAUAGAGACGGACCGGUCUUCAGUCGAGGGUAUACAAGUAGCUGCGCUCCCCUGCUAGAACCUCCAAACAAGCUCUCAAGGUCCAUUUGUAGGAGAACGUAGGGUAGUCAAGCUUCCAAGACUCCAGACACAUCCAAAUGAGGCGCUGCACGUGGCAGUCUGCCUUUCUUU